This 434-nucleotide ribosomal RNA is filed under the name uncultured Clostridium sp. RNAcentral describes it as "partial 16S ribosomal RNA". It matches the Rfam family "Bacterial small subunit ribosomal RNA", at positions 341 to 792 of the family's 1533-position model. The record is from RNAcentral. Lineage: Bacteria; Bacillati; Bacillota; Clostridia; Eubacteriales; Clostridiaceae.
ACGGGAGGCAGCAGUGGGGAAUAUUGCACAAUGGGCGAAAGCCUGAUGCAGCGACGCCGCGUGAGUGAAGAAGUAUUUCGGUAUGUAAAGCUCUAUCAGCAGGGAAGAUAAUGACGGUACCUGACUAAGAAGCCCCGGCUAACUACGUGCCAGCAGCCGCGGUAAUACGUAGGGGGCAAGCGUUAUCCGGAUUUACUGGGUGUAAAGGGAGCGUAGACGGCAAGGCAAGUCUGAUGUGAAAACCCGGGGCUCAACCUCGGGACUGCAUUGGAAACUGUCUAGCUAGAGUGCAGGAGAGGUAAGUGGAAUUCCUAGUGUAGCGGUGAAAUGCGUAGAUAUUAGGAGGAACACCAGUGGCGAAGGCGGCUUACUGGACUGUAACUGACGUUGAGGCUCGAAAGCGUGGGGAGCAAACAGGAUUAGAUACCCUGGUA